This 468-nucleotide ribosomal RNA is filed under the name uncultured bacterium. Its description in RNAcentral is "partial 16S ribosomal RNA". It matches the Rfam family "Bacterial small subunit ribosomal RNA", at positions 28 to 507 of the family's 1533-position model. The record is from RNAcentral.
GACGAACGCUGGCGGCGUGCUUAACACAUGCAAGUCGAACGGAAAGGCCCUGCUUUUGUGGGGUGCUCGAGUGGCGAACGGGUGAGUAACACGUGAGUAACCUGCCCUUGACUUUGGGAUAACUUCAGGAAACUGGGGCUAAUACCGGAUAGGAGCUCCUGCUGCAUGGUGGGGGUUGGAAAGUUUCGGCGGUUGGGGAUGGACUCGCGGCUUAUCAGCUUGUUGGUGGGGUAGUGGCUUACCAAGGCUUUGACGGGUAGCCGGCCUGAGAGGGUGACCGGACACCUUGCGACUGAGAUACGGCCCAGACUCCUACGGGAGGCAGCAGUGGGGAAUAUUGCACAAUGGGCGGACGCCUGAUGCAGCAACGCCGCGUGCGGGAUGACGGCCUUCGGGUUGUAAACCGCUUUCGCCUGUGACGAAGCGUGAGUGACGGUAAUGGGUAAAGAAGCACCGGCUAACUACGUG